GCCCAACGACUGAGCCACCCAGGCUCCCUAUGCUGUAUGUCUUCUAAAAUUCAAAUUAAACUCCCUGGGUAUCAGGGAAAGUAGAAAUAUGAAGGGACUGAGAAGAUACAAACAUCAUGAAGAAUGAUGAAUGUGCUUAAUGGAGGUGUCAUCUCUAACCCAAUGUUCAACCAUGCCUCUGGAAACAGGGGGAGAAGCAGGCCAUAGACGAGAGACCUGUAUCUCCCUCUCCAAAGGAAAUUACUUCACUCGUAACUAUGGACAGUUCAAGCCUAAGGACAUUCUCAAAAACAGCAAAGUUUUGAUAAAAGACUGAAAGACUCACUGGAGGUUCCUUAAAAUUUGCAUAUCUCGCAACAAACAUGCAUUAAUCCCGUCAUCAGAAACAUAUCAGAAGCUAUUUCCACUUAACAGAUUCAAUAGUUGGAGGCAAGUUUUCUUUCUGUUAAGAACACUGUGAGCAAAAAGACCUUCAAAAUGAAUGGACCACCAAGGAUAUCUGUGACUGAAAUAACUCCUGUAAACUUAUGAACAUCCUUUUGCUGUAUCUCAGCAAUGCAAUAGAGCACAUUCACUAUUCACAAACCUGAAUUAACAAAAUUCAGGGAGGUAGCAUUUUCAGAUUGUUAAAAAGAAAACCACAGGCCCAAAUAGGCGUCAGUUAGGUUAAGGCCUGUGGUCAGUAAACUAAGACUUAGUACCUAACCAAACUGCAGUUUCAACCCUCAGCAAUGUAAACUUUAACCAGUCAACAUGGAACUUCCUGGCUAAGACUAGGAAAUUUACUGAUAUACCGCUUCUUCACCCCUUAGGAGAGCACCUUACAUAAACAAUGUAUUCCUUGCAUGAACUGCUUAACAAAUUAUUAGUUAAGAAUUAUUAAAGGAAUUAAUAAAUUCCUUUCUCUUCUUUUUUAGUUCACUCUCUCUACCUUUAAAAACUUCUGUUGUUUUGUUUAGCUCAGCAGAGCUCCCCUUUACUUGCUAGAUGGAAUGCUGCCUGAUUCAUGAAUUGUUCAACAAAGCCAAUUAAAUUUUCAGGUUUA
Molecule: long non-coding RNA, 1045 nt
Organism: Callorhinus ursinus (northern fur seal)
Lineage: Eukaryota; Metazoa; Chordata; Mammalia; Carnivora; Otariidae
Source: RefSeq, a predicted model, not a curated record